Molecule: long non-coding RNA, 201 nt
Filed under: Coccomyxa subellipsoidea
Lineage: Eukaryota; Viridiplantae; Chlorophyta; Trebouxiophyceae; Coccomyxaceae
Description: long non-coding RNA (CSUB_LNC000293)
Source: RNAcentral
AAGCACCAGCCGCCGCAGCAGCUGAAUGCCGCCGAGGAUGAGGUCCUGCACCCCUACACGCAGCUCAUGCUGGACCAGGGCCCCACGCAGUACGUCCUGCGCCCAGAGCCGGACACCCGCCACGUGGCCACCAUGAGCGGCAUCGCGACGCCCUCUGCCGUAACUCCCUCGGUGUCGGCCGAGGACGGCUCGGCGUUUACC